ACAACGGCUCUUUUAAGAGCCAAAACACACACACCUACUGAGCAAAG
Molecule: non-coding RNA, 47 nt
Organism: Poecilia formosa (Amazon molly)
Lineage: Eukaryota; Metazoa; Chordata; Actinopteri; Cyprinodontiformes; Poeciliidae
Source: Rfam